GGUUCAGAACGAACGCUGGCGGCAGGCCUAACACAUGCAAGUCGAGCGCGCCCUUCGGGGUGAGCGGCGGACGGGUUAGUAACGCGUGGGAACGUACCCUUUGGUAGGGAAUAGCCACUGGAAACGGUGAGUAAUACCCUAUGAGCCCUUCGGGGGAAAGAUUUAUCGCCAAAGGAUCGGCCCGCGUUAGAUUAGGUAGUUGGUGGGGUAAUGGCCUACCAAGCCUACGAUCUAUAGCUGGUUUUAGAGGAUGAUCAGCAACACUGGGACUGAGACACGGCCCAGACUCCUACGGGAGGCAGCAGGUGGGGAAUCUUGGACAAGUGGGGGCAACCCUGAAUCCAGCCAUGCCGCGUGAGUGAAGAAGGCCUUAGGGUCGUAAAGCUCUUUCGCCUGUGAAGAUAAUGACGGUAGCAGGUAAAGAAACCCCGGCUAACUCCGUGCCAGCAGCCGC
This 454-nucleotide ribosomal RNA is filed under the name uncultured bacterium. RNAcentral describes it as "bacterial SSU rRNA". It matches the Rfam family "Bacterial small subunit ribosomal RNA", at positions 21 to 518 of the family's 1533-position model. The record is from RNAcentral.